Molecule: ribosomal RNA, 329 nt
Filed under: uncultured eukaryote
Lineage: Eukaryota
Description: partial 18S ribosomal RNA
Rfam family: Eukaryotic small subunit ribosomal RNA
Source: RNAcentral
CCCUUAGAUGUUCUGGGCCGCACGCGCGCUACACUGAUGCAUUCAACGAGUCUAAAACCUGCUCUGAUAGGGGUGGGUAAUCUUUUGAAUGUGCAUCGUGAUUGGGAUAGAUGAUUGAAAUUUUUCAUCUUCAACGAGGAAUGCCUAGUAAACGCAAGUCAUCAGCUUGCAUUGAUUACGUCCCUGCCCUUUGUACACACCGCCCGUCGCUCCUACCGAUUGAAUGAUCCGAUGAAUAUCAUGGAUUGAGGAUGCAAGUAGGUUCACCUAUCUUCAUCUUCGAGAAGUGAAGUAAAUCUUAUCAUUUAGAGGAAGGAGAAAUCGUAACA